CCCAAGCAUUUCUUUGCCUACCUGAUUUACAGAUCCGUUGUGUUUCUCGCCAUCAUGUGCAGGGAAAGAAAAGUUUGUUGGGGGGGGAGGCUGAUAAA
Pseudonaja textilis is the source of this 98-nucleotide non-coding RNA. Lineage: Eukaryota; Metazoa; Chordata; Lepidosauria; Squamata; Elapidae. The record is from RefSeq and is a predicted model, not a curated record.